GGUAGAGUGGCCGAGUGGUAAAGGCGACAGAUUUAGGUUUACAUAAGCAGCCUCUCUGUUGGGAAACCGCGCGAGUUCGAAUCUCGUCUCUAUCA
Molecule: non-coding RNA, 95 nt
Organism: Colletotrichum acutatum
Lineage: Eukaryota; Fungi; Ascomycota; Sordariomycetes; Glomerellales; Glomerellaceae
Source: the annotation of a RefSeq genome assembly